UACGUAGGGUGCGAGCGUUGUCCGGAAUUAUUGGGCGUAAAGGGCUCGUAGGCGGUUUGUCGCGUCGGGAGUGAAAACGCCGUGCUUAACACGGCGCUUGCUUUCGAUACGGGCAGACUAGAGGUAUUCAGGGGAGAACGGAAUUCCUGGUGUAGCGGUGAAAUGCGCAGAUAUCGGGAAGAACACCCGUGGCGAAGGCGGUUCUCUGGGACGGUACUGACGCUGAGACGCGAAAGCGUGGGGAGCGAACAGG
RNAcentral lists this ribosomal RNA (253 nucleotides) under uncultured bacterium. Its description in RNAcentral is "partial 16S ribosomal RNA". It matches the Rfam family "Bacterial small subunit ribosomal RNA", at positions 524 to 776 of the family's 1533-position model. The record is from RNAcentral.